GUAAGAAACCUAAGCUUUAUGAUUAUUGCAAAAUAAUUCACAUUACAUUAGUUUUAGUAUUUGCAACAUAAUUUUAGAAUGCUUCAGUAAUAAUAUAAAGUGAACUGGUAGGAGGUUCCACCUGAUUACAGAUCAAUCAAAAACAUCAGAAUGUCAAGCCACUAGUUGUCGUGGUGGUGGCAGUGGCAUUUCUUAACAUCUUUGUGCCUUGAUUAUAUAUGAUUUUUGAAUUUUGAUAUUGCUUUGGUCCAUAUCUAAUAUGAAGUUACAUCUGUGUUACUGAUAAUUUAUUCAGAAUUGUUCCUAGCUUGUCUUACUCUCUUGUUUUAUACUUUGGACUAUCAGAUCCACCACCACAACACUUGAAACGUUUUACCUGGAAGGCCUAACAACUAUGUGGUAGAUUUGCAUUAACCCACUUGUCUCCCUGUAUGUUGUAGAAAAAGGCAAAAGAGUUAUUGUUUCUUUCCUUCUCGCCACUCUGAGUAGCACUCUUAUGUGUUGUCACUGAUCAGUCAAAACCUGAAAAAGUUGCUGGGGAAUUCAAUAAAAAAAAGUUUUAUCAGACUAGCUAACUGAGGAGGCAAUGAGAAGGAAACAAUGUUGAAUACUAAAUUUAAAUAAAUAAACCUGUCCCCUCUAUCAGCAUUGGCUUUUGUAACUUGAGCUAUAACUUACGACCUUGCUCUUGAAAACGAUUUGAAAUGUCCAUAUGGGCUAUGUUUCACUGGAGAGAAGAGAAGUCCUUACACCAUUUAUCCAUUCUUUUUAUUUUUCAGUUUCUUGACUUGAUCCCUACUCAGCAUUCCCCAG
Molecule: long non-coding RNA, 813 nt
Filed under: Olea europaea (common olive)
Lineage: Eukaryota; Viridiplantae; Streptophyta; Magnoliopsida; Lamiales; Oleaceae
Description: long non-coding RNA (OEUR_LNC014017)
Source: RNAcentral